ACUAGUUGAGCAUGAUUCAAGGCUUAGCUUGCUAGCUGGUGGUAAGUGCUGGACAGUCUACUAUUAGAAAAUUGGUUGGGCUGUGAUUGUAUCUAACUGGAAAAUACUUGAUCUUAAAAGUGGUGGGAAGCUGUGCCUCCAUGCAAACUCACCAACAAGGAACACCUCCAAGACCUAGUGUUUGCAACUUCUCAACUGAAUAGCAACAUUCAGGGCAUUUCCACACUGUAUGAUGGGAUGGAAAUAGUUUGAGUUGGAGAACAUUAGUAGCACCUUCUAGAGGCUUGGAGAAGACAUUUGUGCUAUGGGUUCAAGCCUUGAGGAGAUAAAUUCAGGUAAUUGAAUGUGCUCACUGUAGGUGUGGCCAGCAGCUUUGGGUCCAUGAGCUUACCAAAAAAGGGCAAAAGGUCCAAGGCAUGAACUUAAGGUGGUACACAUGAUGCAAAGGGGACAUUUCAGCACAAUAUGAUGCAGUAUCUUUUUUUGCAGUGUUAAAUCAAACCUGGGACCAAGUUCUCUAAUAAUCAUUGCAGUACUUUUAGUAUGCUAAAUUGUGGUACACAAAGUAAGUGAAUAUCUUGGAAAAUUAUUGUGCAAUUACCACCCGGAAGGAUAUUAUGCAGGAAAAUUACAGCCCAAUUCUUUCUUGAGGAAGUUCUGUAUCAGUGAGAGAAUAUAUGAAACAAUUCUGCACUCCUAUAUUAGCAUAUGAGAUCUAUCAUGUUUGUGGAGGGCUGGAAGUCAUAGGCUGAAGUCAACCUUGCUUGAGCAUGAU
Molecule: long non-coding RNA, 775 nt
Filed under: Vitis vinifera (wine grape)
Lineage: Eukaryota; Viridiplantae; Streptophyta; Magnoliopsida; Vitales; Vitaceae
Description: long non-coding RNA (VVIN_LNC005845)
Source: RNAcentral